RNAcentral lists this small RNA (67 nucleotides) under Bacillus sp. SJS. RNAcentral describes it as "Bacillaceae-1 RNA". It matches the Rfam family "Bacillaceae-1 RNA". The record is from Rfam by way of RNAcentral. Lineage: Bacteria; Bacillati; Bacillota; Bacilli; Caryophanales; Bacillaceae.
AAGUAAGGUUGUUCUGCUAAGACCGCGACGUCCUGCCGCAAAGCAGAACUGACCUGCCUCCUGCAGG